GAAAGGCCCGUUUAACAUAUAAUUCUCAAUUAUUUAUUUCAUUCUUUACUUCCCUUUUCUUCUCAUCUAAGUAUCCUUUCCAUUCUUUAAUUCCCACUUUCUUUUCUUUCCAUUAUGCCUCCACUUCACCUUACAGCUAAGCAUACCUCCGCAUCACCAAGAAGCUUAAAAGUGCCAGGCGUACCUCCGCAUCACCGCUUAGCUUUAAACGUGUCCUAGGAAUAACCUACACACCUUUGUUUAACUAAGCUCUUACAUUUUGCCAAAUUUGGAUAUAUCCUUUGGGUCUAAAUCAAGUUUUACACGUUUGGAUUAGAAUUAAAUCCGAUAGCC
Molecule: long non-coding RNA, 333 nt
Filed under: Arachis ipaensis
Lineage: Eukaryota; Viridiplantae; Streptophyta; Magnoliopsida; Fabales; Fabaceae
Description: long non-coding RNA (AIPA_LNC000177)
Source: RNAcentral